This 1242-nucleotide ribosomal RNA is filed under the name metagenome. RNAcentral's name for it is "bacterial LSU rRNA". It matches the Rfam family "Bacterial large subunit ribosomal RNA", at positions 1564 to 2815 of the family's 2925-position model. The record is from RNAcentral.
UGAGUACGAGAUGCUACGGCGUCGAAGCAGUCUAGGUCAUACUUCCAAGAAAAGCUUGCACUGUCAUAAACAAAGAAUGCCUGUACCAUAACCGACACAGGUGGGUAGGUAGAGUAUACUAAGGGGCGCGAGAUAACUCUCUCUAAGGAACUCGGCAAAAUGACUCCGUAACUUCGGGAGAAGGAGUGCCUUAUUUUUAAGGUUGCAAUAACAAGAUCCAAGCAACUGUUUACCAAAAACACAGGUCUCCGCUAAGUCGUAAGACGAUGUAUGGGGGCUGACGCCUGCCCAGUGCCAGAAGGUUAAAGAAGUUGGUUAGCAUUCGCGAAGCUGAUAACUGAAGCCCUGGUGAACGGCGGCCGUAACUAUAACGGUCCUAAGGUAGCGAAAUUCCUUGUCGGGUAAGUUCCGACCCGCACGAAAGGCUUAAUGAUUUGGAUACUGUCUCGGAGAGGGGCUCGGUGAAAUAGACUUGUCUGUGAAGAUGCGGACUACCUGCACCUGGACAGAAAGACCCUAUGAAGCUUUACUGUAACUUGAGAUUGAAAUUGGACUUUAUUUGCGCAGUAUAGGUGGGAGGCGUUGAGAAUAAUCUUGCGGGAUUAUCGGAGCCAUCAGUGAGAUACCACUCUUGUAAUGUUAGAUUUCUAACUUUGUAUCAUUAUCUGGUCAAAGAACAGUUUCAGGCGGGCAGUUUGACUGGGGCGGUCGCCUCCCAAAGGGUAACGGAGGCGCACAAAGGUUUCCUCUGAACGGGUAGAAAUCGUAUCUAGAGUGUAAAGGCAUAAGGAAGCUUGACUGUGAGACCUACAAGUCGAGCAGGGACGAAAGUCGGUCUUAGUGAUCUGACGGUGCUGAGUGGAAAGGCCGUCACUCAACGGAUAAAAGUUACUCUAAGGAUAACAGGCUGAUCUCCCCCAAGAGUUCACAUCGACGGGGAGGUUUGGCACCUCGAUGUCGGCUCAUCGCAUCCUGGGGCGGUAGUACGUCCCAAGGGUUGGGCUGUUCGCCCAUGAAAGCGGUACGCGAGCUGGGUUCAGAACGUCGUGAGACAGUUCGGUCCAUAUCCGGUGUAGGCGUUAGAAUAUUGAAAGGAGCCUUCUCUAGUACGAGAGGACCGAGAAGGACAUACCUCUGGUGUGCCAGUUAUCGUGCCAACGGUAAACGCUGGGUAGCUAUGUAUGGAGUGGAUAACCGCUGAAAGCAUCUAAGUGGGAAGCCCACCUUAAGGUAAGUAUUCUC